Kogia breviceps (pygmy sperm whale) is the source of this 1816-nucleotide non-coding RNA. NCBI's taxonomy places the organism in Eukaryota, Metazoa, Chordata, Mammalia, Artiodactyla, Physeteridae. The record is from RefSeq and is a predicted model, not a curated record.
CUAAGGGAAGAUAGAGGCAGACUAAGAUCAAAGGAAUUUCCCAGAGGGACCAGCAGUCCCUUCAUUUGAACUAGAACAACAAAAAAGCCAGAGGAAUUUAUGACUCACAGGGAGGCGGGUGGACGGUGACUUGGGGCGGGGGUCAUUUAACUUCUCUAUCCAUACUUCCCCACUCCCCUAGUCAAUCUCAGUCUCUUCCACGUCCACAAAGGGUGAGCCUGAGACCCAGGCUUGCCAGAAUGAGGGAGAUUCGGGGAGCGGGGAGAUAAUGAGCGCCCCUCUCCGUAGAGGGCCAACCAGACGUGAUUCUCCGUGGGACUCAGAACUUUAAUUGCUCCGGGAGAACUGGGUAAACGUCAUCAGUCACUCAUACCUCUGUCAACUGGCUCAUCUGACACUUCACUCCAGGUGCACGGAAGGCCCCAACAAAUAAGCUUGUGGAACUAUGAAGACCAUGUGAAUCACGUGUCAUGUUUUGUGCUCCCUAGCAAAGAGAAAAGAGGAAGAAAUACUGGUCUCCCAGGCUGUAUGUUGUGCUGAAUCCCACCCCACCGCAGGACAGCUGGGGCCUUUGACCACCCCUGGACUCCUCUUCGCCUCCAAUCAUCUUAUCAGGAAGGCCCCUUCUCCCAGGACACCAAAGGAACCCAAGUAGAAACUUCUCAGGACCCAUGAGAGAAACAUGAGCAUUUCUUCUGCAGCUUUGUAGAGCUCUUGAAUAUGUUCUGGAUGCAAGAAGUCCAAGAUCAAGAUGUCAGCAGGGUUCCACAAGAUGGGGGAAAAUAUUUGCAAAUGAUGUGACCGACAAGGGAUUAAUCUCCAAAAUAUACAAACAGCUCAUGCAGCUCUAUGUCAAAAAAACAAACAACCCAAUCAAAAAAUGGGCAGAGGACCUAAAUAGGCAUUUCUCCAAAGAAGACAUAGAGACGGCCAAGAAGCAUAUGAAAAGAUGCUCAACAUCACUAAUUAUCAGAGAAAUGCAAAUCAAAACUCCAGUGAGGUAUCGCCUCACACCAGUCAGAAUGGCCAUCAUCAAAAAGUCUACAAACAAUAAAUGCUGGAGAGGUUGUGGAGAAAAGUGAACCCUCCUACACUGUUGGUGGGUUUGUAAAUUGGUACAUCCCCUAUGGAGAACAGUAUGGAGGCUCCUUAAAAAACUUAAAAUAGAACUACUGUAUGACCCAGCAAUCCCACUCCUGACAUACAUCCAGAGAAAACCAUAAUCCAAAAGGAUACAUGCACCCCAAUGUUUAUUGCAGCACUAUUUACAAUAACCAAGACAUGAAAGCAACCUAAAUAUCCAUUGACAGAGGAACAGGUGAGGAAGAUGUGGUACAUAUAUACAGUGGAAUAUUACUUAGCCACAAAAAAUAAUGAAAUAAUGCCAUUUGCAGCAACAUGGAUGGACCUAGAGAUUUUCAUACUAAGUGAAGUAAGUCAGAGAAAGACAAAUAUAUGAUAUCACUCAUAUGUGGACUCUAAUUAUUUUAAAAAGGUACAAAUGAACUUAUUUACAAAACAGACUUACAGAUAUUGAAAACAAACUUACGGUUACCAAAGGGGAAACAUGGGGUGUGGAUAAAUCAGGAGCUUGGUAUGAACACACACUGCUAUAUAUAAGAUAGAUAACCACCAAAGACCUACUGUAUAGCACAGGGAAUGCUAUUCAAUAUUCUGUGAUAACCUGUGUGAGUAAAGAAUCUACAAAAGAAUGAAUGUAUGUAUAUGUAUAAGUGAAUCACUUUGCCAUACACCUGAAACUAACACAACAUUGUAAAUCAACUCUACUCCAAUAAAAUUAAAACAUUAAAAAAAA